CCCAGGGAUGAGAGAGUCUGCACGUACACAAGCAAUGCCAUGUAGCCCUGCCCCCCAAGUUAUCCCUGAUUGGUGAAUGAAGAUGCUCUACAGCCUAUAGCUGGGCAGAAGAGAGAGGGGCAGGGUUUGGGUUCCUGGCCUUGGAGUCUGGGGAAGAGACUCAGAGAUAAGGGAGAAGGUAGAGAGAGGAGAAGAUACUGUCCGGAAUGAGGUCCCGGCCCUUGAAGAUCAGGAGCAAACCGUGGUAUGGAGGAACGUUCGGCUGUCAUCCUGUAAAAUUAGAGACACAGUGUCACAUUCCAUAUCUGAUUAGCUACCAUCACUGGUGUUAGUGUCCCUGGGCUGGAUCUCAACGCGAGCUGCUCCGCUUGUGACUGUCAAUCACUUGAGCAAAUAGGAUGACACUUGCUCUCUCCCCUCAACAACUUGAAUGUGGUGUCUGCUCAAAUCAUCUGCCUCCUCCAGCCCCGAGUCUGCUGUGACAUCUGAGAGCCGCCGGAUCCCGACUCCCCGGCUCACCUGAUUAACUUCCCUGAGCCAAGUUGCUAGCCAAAGGGGAGAAAACGGAGCAUCUGUGUCUGCCAAUCAGGAACUGGAGAGACUGCUCCGUGGUAAAGAGCCCGGGAUGCUCUGGCAGAGGACCCACACGGUAUCACAUAACCCUCUGUAACUCCAGCCUCAGAGGAUCUGACGCCCUCUUCUGGCCUCCUCGGGCACUGCACGCACGUGGUGCCCAGAUACGAGCAGGCCAAACACCCAUACUUGUAAAUUAAGAAUAAAUGAGUAAGAUAUUUAAGACCAUCA
This 804-nucleotide small RNA is filed under the name Rattus norvegicus (Norway rat). Its description in RNAcentral is "uncharacterized LOC102549141". The record is from RNAcentral. Lineage: Eukaryota; Metazoa; Chordata; Mammalia; Rodentia; Muridae.